Molecule: ribosomal RNA, 375 nt
Filed under: uncultured bacterium
Lineage: Bacteria
Description: bacterial SSU rRNA
Rfam family: Bacterial small subunit ribosomal RNA
Source: RNAcentral
UACGGAGGGUGCAAGCGUUAUCCGGAAUCAUUGGGUUUAAAGGGUCCGCAGGCGGUUUAAUAAGUCAGUGGUGAAAGCCUACAGCUCAACUGUAGAACUGCCAUUGAUACUGUUAGACUUGAAUUCGAUCGGAGUGGGCGGAAUGUGUAGUGUAGCGGUGAAAUGCUUAGAUAUUACACAGAACACCGAUAGCGAAGGCAGCUCACUAGGUCUGGAUUGACGCUCAGGGACGAAAGCGUGGGGAGCAAACAGGAUUAGAUACCCUGGUAGUCCACGCCGUAAACUAUGAUUACUCGUUCUCGGGGUCUAUAGGACUUCGGGGACUAAGCGAAAGUGAUAAGUAAUCCACCUGGGGAGUACGAUCGCAAGGUUGAA